Molecule: ribosomal RNA, 465 nt
Filed under: uncultured bacterium
Lineage: Bacteria
Description: partial 16S ribosomal RNA
Rfam family: Bacterial small subunit ribosomal RNA
Source: RNAcentral
GAUGAACGCUGGCGGCGUGCUUAACACAUGCAAGUCGAACGAUGAAGCCCAGCUUGCUGGGUGGAUUAGUGGCGAACGGGUGAGUAACACGUGAGUAACCUGCCCUUAACUCUGGGAUAAGCCUGGGAAACUGGGUCUAAUACCGGAUAGGAGCGUCCACCGCAUGGUGGGUGUUGGAAAGAUUUAUCGGUUUUGGAUGGACUCGCGGCCUAUCAGCUUGUUGGUGAGGUAAUGGCUCACCAAGGCGACGACGGGUAGCCGGCCUGAGAGGGUGACCGGCCACACGGGGACUGAGACACGGCCCAGACUCCUACGGGAGGCAGCAGUGGGGAAUAUUGCACAAUGGGCGCAAGCCUGAUGCAGCGACGCCGCGUGAGGGAUGACGGCCUUCGGGUUGUAAACCUCUUUCAGUAGGGAAGAAGCGAAAGUGACGGUACCUGCAGAAGAAGCACCGGCGAACUACGU